GGGGUGGGGACCCUGGGGACUUCCCCUAUAUUUCAUUUGAUUAUUUAUUUAGUCUCAUACAUGAAUGUAUAUGGUCGAGGGGUGGGGAUCUCAUCCGUUUCAAAGUUAUCAAACAGGAGGAGGUAGAGUGGCCCAAUGGACUCCACCUAUAUAUAAUAAGAUUUGCUUACAUUCAGGUAUCAUAUAUAUAGGUUGCACUAUUUGUGCCUGUCCAAGUCAGGAGCCUGUAAUUCAGUGGUUGUCGUUUGUUUAUGUGUUACAUAUUUUUUUCAUAGUUAUUUUUUUUAUAUAAAUAAGGCUAUUAGUUUUCUCGUUUGAAUUGUUUCACAUUGUCUUAUCGGGCCUUUUUAUAGCUGACUAUGUGGUAAUGGUAUGGGCUUUGCUCAUUGUUGAAGGCAGUACAAUGACCUAUAGUUGUUAAUGUCUGUGUCAUUUUGGUCUCUUGUGGACAGUUGUCUCAUUGGCAAUCAUACUGCACAUCUUUUUUUUUUAUAUAAGAAACUUCCAGCUAUUUUAACUGACCCAUCAAAAUUGAGAAGAAAAAAAUACCCCUUGAAAUUGCAGUAAUAUGUUUAACUUUAAAAGCAUCUAACAUGCAUUACCAACAUUUAUCACUGAUAAAGAAAAUUUAUACUGUUACCAGGAACAUAUAUAUUGUUAGAUAAACUGUUCCCAGCUGUCACAUUGUAUUGGAUUUUGACAUUAAAAUUUGUGUACAAAAUGUUUUCUGCUUUUUCUUUCUUUUACAUAUAUCUUUUGGUUUUCAAUUCUAGUGUUUAUAUUUAUUUACCAUGCAUAGAUGUAUUUUGUCACCUGUCUGGAUUUUUUUUAAAUGAUAGCCAAACCCGGGAUUACCAUUAUCCGCUUCCGGAAUCGGAUCCGAUAUUGUAAUUGUCUUCCCCGGCAGCCAUUUUAUUUUCAAUGUUGUUUUUGACAGAUGGAGUGGGAUACGAUUUUACUCGGAUUUACACAUUAUUUGUCGGCGAUUUUCUGUAUAAAUCUAGCGGUUGAACAAAUUGAACAUCGCUGUCAUGGAUAGUAAUGAUGAAAAUAAGUUUGAGAUCGUUUAUUAGAAAACUUUGGUAAAAAUGUUUGGAAAGUUAUUUUUUUUAUUUUCUUUCAAGGUCCGGGCGUAGCUAGUAACCAAGUAGAAAGUCCGACUGCAAAAAUGGAAGGUCGCAGACCUCGGACCACCGCUAAUUUGAACCCCUGCGUCCAAAUUGAAAAGAUACGAAAAUUUCGUAUUCUAAUUCAAAAUUGCCGCCAACAGCGUGAUCAGUCGAACUUAUUUUAAUAGACUACUGACGUAGUUGACUACGUAUUGAUGACAAACAAUAUUCCUACGACUUUUGCAAUUUGGGAAAUCUAAACUACUUGUCUUUAGAGAUUUUCGGCGAUUAAAUAUUUCAUACAUUUGUUCUUUGACAUCUUAGCCAAUCAGGGGAUAAUAAAAUACAUAAGGAUUCCUAAUGUGCUCUACUUCCUAUGUGCAACUUCAAAACUUUUGGGAAAAUCGACGAUCAUUUAAGGUUUUUUGGUCAUAUUUUUUGUAAUCCAGAAUGAAAAGUAUGAAAAAAAUGUCCAAUAAGUUAUAAAUAACAUAAUAUCCAGCUAGAUAAUAACAAUGGCACGUAUUUCAGCAUUUAUUGGGUAGAACACAAAUCCAGGGUGCUCGCAUAAGGCAGCUUAACUGCCUAAAAAUAUAA
RNAcentral lists this long non-coding RNA (1706 nucleotides) under Mytilus galloprovincialis (Mediterranean mussel). The record is from RNAcentral. Lineage: Eukaryota; Metazoa; Mollusca; Bivalvia; Mytilida; Mytilidae.